AUACGUAGGGGGCGAGCGUUGUCCGGAAUGAUUGGGCGUAAAGGGCGCGUAGGCGGCCCGGUAAGUCUGGAGUGAAAGUCCCGCAUUCAAUGUGGGAAUUGCUUUGGAUACUGCAGUGCUAGAGUGCGGAAGAGGUAAGUGGAAUUCCCAGUGUAGCGGUGAAAUGCGUAGAGAUUGGGAGGAACACCAGUGGCGAAGGCGACUUACUGGGCCGUAACUGACGCUGAGGCGCGAAAGCGUGGGGAGCGAACAGGAUUAGAUACCCUGGUAGUCCACGCGGUAAACGAUGAAUGCUAGGUGUUGCGGGUAUCGACCCCUGCAGUGCCGGAGUAAACACAAUAAGCAUUCCGCCUGGGGAGUACGGCCGCAAGGUUGAAACUCAAAUGAAUUGACGGGG
This 397-nucleotide ribosomal RNA is filed under the name uncultured bacterium. Its description in RNAcentral is "partial 16S ribosomal RNA". It matches the Rfam family "Bacterial small subunit ribosomal RNA", at positions 523 to 918 of the family's 1533-position model. The record is from RNAcentral.